CCUACGGGCGGCUGCAGUGGGGAAUAUUGCACAAUGGGCGCAAGCCUGAUGCAGCCAUGCCGCGUGUGUGAAGAAGGCCUUCGGGUUGUAAAGCACUUUCAGCGGGGAGGAAGGCGGUGAGGUUAAUAACCUCAUCGAUUGACGUUACCCGCAGAAGAAGCACCGGCUAACUCCGUGCCAGCAGCCGCGGUAAUACGGAGGGUGCAAGCGUUAAUCGGAAUUACUGGGCGUAAAGCGCACGCAGGCGGUCUGUCAAGUCGGAUGUGAAAUCCCCGGGCUCAACCUGGGAACUGCAUUCGAAACUGGCGGGCUAGAGUCUUGUAGAGGGGGGUAGAAUUCCAGGUGUAGCGGUGAAAUGCGUAGAGAUCUGGAGGAAUACCGGUGGCGAAGGCGGCCCCCUGGACAAAGACUGACGCUCAGGUGCGAAAGCGUGGGGAGCAAACAGGAUUAGAUACCCUAGUAGUC
Molecule: ribosomal RNA, 465 nt
Filed under: uncultured Klebsiella sp.
Lineage: Bacteria; Pseudomonadati; Pseudomonadota; Gammaproteobacteria; Enterobacterales; Enterobacteriaceae
Description: bacterial SSU rRNA
Rfam family: Bacterial small subunit ribosomal RNA
Source: RNAcentral